UCUGAGGGCCCUCAUGGGGUUUUUGAUUAUGUGAUUACUUGGCCGUUUUUUUAAUGAUUAUUUGAUUAUUAAGCCAAAUAUUUCAUGAUUAUUUGAUUACCUAGGACUGUAUUUUUAGUUUAUGAUUAUUUGAUUACUAAAGAUAAGCAAAUAUUUAAUGAUUAUGUGAUUAUAUUGGCAAAAAAAUGGUGAUUAUGUGAUUACUAGGACCCCCCCCAUGAGGGGCCUCAUCU
RNAcentral lists this long non-coding RNA (233 nucleotides) under Mytilus galloprovincialis (Mediterranean mussel). Lineage: Eukaryota; Metazoa; Mollusca; Bivalvia; Mytilida; Mytilidae. The record is from RNAcentral.